Molecule: long non-coding RNA, 132 nt
Organism: Coregonus clupeaformis (lake whitefish)
Lineage: Eukaryota; Metazoa; Chordata; Actinopteri; Salmoniformes; Salmonidae
Exons: 2
Source: RefSeq, a predicted model, not a curated record
GUGUUUAUUUACAAGUAUUCUUGUUUCUAAGUGGACCCAUUUCCCUCUCAGUUGUGUGCAGCCAGCGAGUUCGACGGUGGAUUGAUGACGGUGGAGAAUUUAGUAGAAGAAUAAAUCCAUCAGUAACCAGAA